GAACCGUCCGAACGUUAUUCGGAAUCACUGGGCUUAAAGGGUGCGUAGGCGGGCGCGGAAAGUUGGGGUGUGAAAUACCUCGGGCUCAACCGAGGAACUGCGCCCAAAACUUCCGUGCUCGAGGGAGAUAGAGGUGAGCGGAACUUAGGGUGGAGCGGUGAAAUGCGUUGAUAUCCUAAGGAACACCGGUGGCGAAAGCGGCUCACUGGAUCUCUUCUGACGCUGAGGCACGAAAGCUAGGGUAGCGAACGGGAUUAGAUACCCCGGUAGUCCUAGCCGUAAACGAUGAGCACUGGAUUGAAGGGUCCUCCAUAGCCUUUCAGUCGCAACGAAAGCGUUAAGUGCUCCGCCUGGGGAGUAUGGUCGCAAGGCUG
RNAcentral lists this ribosomal RNA (374 nucleotides) under uncultured organism. RNAcentral's name for it is "partial 16S ribosomal RNA". It matches the Rfam family "Bacterial small subunit ribosomal RNA", at positions 527 to 896 of the family's 1533-position model. The record is from RNAcentral.